AUCUAGCAAAGAAUUGUUAGCGCUAAUCAUUAAUUUUAAAAACUCGAGUUAUCAAAAAAUGCAACCAAUUAAUUCUCAUAAAACAUACACAAGGUGUCCAUGGAUCUCGAUUAUAAUUCAGUCCAACCAACCUCGCGCCACUGGAACAUAACUAGACCUAAUCCGGUCUCCCGUCAUUCCAAACGCGACUCGACUCAACCUGACCUCCUAUCAAAGAGUA
This 220-nucleotide long non-coding RNA is filed under the name Ananas comosus (pineapple). Its description in RNAcentral is "long non-coding RNA (ACOM_LNC007519)". Lineage: Eukaryota; Viridiplantae; Streptophyta; Magnoliopsida; Poales; Bromeliaceae. The record is from RNAcentral.